GACGAACGCUGGCGGCGUGCUUAACACAUGCAAGUCGAACGGAAAGGCCCUGCUUGCAGGGUCCUCGAGUGGCGAACGGGUGAGUAACACGUGGGUGAUCUGCCCUGCACUUCGGGAUAAGCCUGGGAAACUGGGUCUAAUACCGGAUAGGAGCCAUUUUUAGUGUGAUGGUUGGAAAGUUUUUUCGGUGUAGGAUGAGCUCGCGGCCUAUCAGCUUGUUGGUGGGGUAAUGGCCUACCAAGGCGGCGACGGGUAGCCGGCCUGAGAGGGUGGACGGCCACAGUGGGACUGAGAUACGGCCCAGACUCCGACGGGAGGCAGCAGUGGGGAAUAUUGCACAAGGGGCGCAAGCCUGAUGCAGCGACGCCGCGUGGGGGAGGACGGCCUUCGGGUUGGAAACUCCUUUCGCUAGGGACGAAGCUUUUUGUGACGGUACCUAGAGAAGAAGCACCGGCUAACUACGUG
Molecule: ribosomal RNA, 465 nt
Filed under: uncultured bacterium
Lineage: Bacteria
Description: partial 16S ribosomal RNA
Rfam family: Bacterial small subunit ribosomal RNA
Source: RNAcentral